CCGGAAUGAAAGGACAAAAAAUCUGUUUUAUUUUUAUGUGAAAAUAAUUGACCAAAUAUAAUAACAGUCUUUAGGAUCAGCUCAUUUUUCAUGAGGAUGCGAAAUGUGACUUCUUCCUUUUUAAAUGUCGUUAAUCCAAGAAAACAACCGUGAGCAUGAAAAUGUUGCGCUUUAUUUACAGCUGUUAGACACGUGAUCUUCUCACUUCCGCUCGUUCUCCUUUAAUUAGCGUCUGAGUUAUUUCCACCAAUCAGAAGCGGUUGCUAGGCAGAGCUGUUUCACCUGACCAAUCACCUUUUUUUUCCUGUGGACGUUGCCUAGCGUCCGCGCCGUGACCCCGAAGAGGAGAAAACAAACUUGGACAAACGCGUGAAAACACGGAAUAAAAGCAGGAUUUGAGCGUCGCUUCGUCUGCUCGGGUUGCUGCUCGGAGGGAAACUUCAGCAGUGAAGAAAUGUGGACGCCAGAAAAGCUUUGGAGCAGUUUUUGGGGAGCACGCGGUGAUGAGUGGAGGGGCUGGACGCUGCGCAGACCUGCGGCUGGAAGCAGGUAUUUCUGCCUCCGGGCUGCAGAGUCUGGAUCUGCGCUCCUGCUCGACAGCUGCCCUGCUGCAGUUCGCUCAGCUGAACCUUUCUGUCUUCACUUUGGGUUUUGGUUCAAAAUUCACUCAACAAGGAUCGAACCCUCUAUCACCCUGAGCUCCUGAACCAGACAGCUGAUCUGUCGCCGGUCGAUGGUGCCAAAGAAUGCAUCUGCCUUGUGGGAAACUCAAAAUGGCCACCUGGAAGAGGAGCUGGACAAGUGGGCCAAAAUGGAAAGGUGAAAUUCUGAACAAGCAAGUCGCCGAAAGGUCGACGUAUGAAACGAGAAGACGAAAUCAAGGGGGGACAACAAGGUGAAACCUUGACCUUCUCCAAACCCACAGCAGCUCGGCACAAAGUCCUUCCAGAGGACGAGGUCUUUCCCUCUGACCAUGGCUGUUACGUGGGUUUUGAUUGUGUCCAUGCUGAGCUGCAUGACUACAAGGCCCCAGGGGGGACACGGCCCCCCCAUUCCCUCCCUCCCUUCCUUCACGAAUGUCACUGAUGCUCCGGGUACUGGCGACGGCAGGAUUCGAACCAGGCACCGCUGGCACCGUACCCCUUACGGUCACGGCCAAACCCUCCACGCCACCGAGUCCCCUUCGCAUCAGAACCUUUUCUCCGGGCGCUUUUAUCUCUUCGCUUUGGGUUUUGGACUUCAAAAUUGACUGAGCCUCGAUAAGGAUCGAACCCACAACCUCAAGGGUACCGCGCAGUCUUCUAUCACCCCGAGCUACUGGACCAGACAAGUUGACUUGAUUUCUUGGCGCUUUUCACUCUUUUCUUUCAACAUUAGCUUUCAAAACUUACUGCAUCAAAUGAGGAUCGAACCCAGAUCCUCGAGACUUCCAGACAGCCGUUUACUUACGCCGGUGGACGAAUCAACCACGCCACCGAGUCCCCUUCGCAUUACAACCUUUUCUCCGGGCGCUUUUAUCUCUUCGCUUUGGGUUUUGGACUUUCAAAAUUGACAGAGCCUUGAUAAGGAUUGAACCCACAACCCCAGAGCCCCCAAGCAGUCUUCUAUCACCCCGAGCUACUGGACCUGACAGUUGUACUUGCUUUCUUGGCGCUUUUCACUCUUUUCUUUCAACAUUAGCUUUCAAAAUUUACUGCGUCAAAUGAGGAUCGAACACAGAUCCUCAAAACUUCCAGACAGCCUUCAACCACUUUGAACUUACGCCCGUGGACGGACCAACCACGCCACCCAGUCCCCUUUGCAUUACAACCUUUUCUCCGGGCGCUUUUAUCUCUUCGCUUUGGGUUUUGGACUUCAAAUCCUCAAGAACCCCCACCAGUGACCUAACAGCCUGAGCUAAUGGACUGGAGUCCUUUGAACGGUCCUCCAUGUAGGUUUUCACUCCUUCAAUCGAAUCCACAGCUUUAAGACUUUAAAGCAGACCCUCGACACACUGAGCUACUGGGUCAGAGACAGCUGGACUCUUUCAUCUGGACACCAGCUCCAAGCUCCUUCGCGGUCUACAGGAAACUUUGGAUGCUGCUGCAAAGGAGAGGGAGGACCUGAAGCUGUGGAGGCCAGUUGUUAUUAACCAGCUGUACUGGGGCCCUGCAGCGCUCAGCACUUCAGUUCUGAAUUCAAUUUUCUAAAACUGCAUAAUUAAGGUGUUGGAGCUGUUUUUCUAAUUUUCUAUUUGUGAAAUGUUGGAUAGAAAAAUGGAAAAUUGAAAAACAGACAAACUGUCAUAGAAAUCUCUGUCAGCAUUAAAUCUGGCUUCGUCAAGUCUUGUCCUUAUUUGAAUCCUUAUAUUCUCAGCUGCUUCAGUCCUCGAUCCCUCUCCUGCUCUCCCACCUGGGUCCUUCUUGUUAUGCAGCAACAUUUCUGUCCCCAUGAAUUACUUCCUCAUAUUUUCUUUCAAACGCGUCAAAUAUUUAGAACAAAUGGCUUCAAUUAUAGAUCAAGGUCUUCUUUAUCACAUAAACACAGAAUAACGCUCAUUAAAUAUACUUUUUUUACUUUA
Long non-coding RNA from Siniperca chuatsi (mandarin fish), 2560 nucleotides. RefSeq lists it as uncharacterized. The record is from RefSeq and is a predicted model, not a curated record. NCBI's taxonomy places the organism in Eukaryota, Metazoa, Chordata, Actinopteri, Centrarchiformes, Sinipercidae. The transcript is spliced from 7 exons.